This 248-nucleotide ribosomal RNA is filed under the name uncultured bacterium. RNAcentral's name for it is "partial 16S ribosomal RNA". It matches the Rfam family "Bacterial small subunit ribosomal RNA", at positions 524 to 772 of the family's 1533-position model. The record is from RNAcentral.
UACGUAGGGUGCAAGCGUUGUCCGGAAUUAUUGGGCGUAAAGAGCUCGUAGGCGGUUUGUCGCGUCUGCCGUGAAAGUCCGGGCUCAACUCCGGAUCUGCGGUGGGUACGGGCAGACUAGAGUGAUGUAGGGGAGACUGGAAUUCCUGGUGUAGCGGUGAAAUGCGCAGAUAUCAGGAGGAACACCGAUGGCGAAGGCAGGUCUCUGGGCAUUAACUGACGCUGAGGAGCGAAAGCAUGGGGAGCGAA